AUGCAGUCGAACGCGAAAGGGGCUUCGUGCCCUGAGUAGAGUGGCGAACGGGGACACGUGGGUGACCUACCCUCGAGUGGGGGAUAACAUCCCGAAAGGGGUGCUAAUACCGCAUGACAUCCUGCCUUUGAACAGGUGGAUAUUAAAGCCGGGGAUCGCAAGACCUGGCGCUCGAGGAGGGGCUCGCGUCCGAUUAGCUAGUUGGUGGGGUAAUGGCCUACCAAGGCGACGAUCGGUAGCCGGCCUGAGAGGGCGGACGGCCACACUGGGACUGAGACACGGCCCAGACUCCUACGGGAGGCAGCAGUGGGGAAUUGUUCGCAAUGGGCGCAAGCCUGACGACGCAACGCCGCGUGGAGGAUGAAGAUCUUCGGGUCGUAAACUCCUUUCGAUCGGGACGAAUGGCCGGUGACCUAACACGUCAUCGGAGUGACGGUACCGAGAGAAGAAGACCCGGGUAACUCCGUGCCAGCAGCCGCGGUAAUACAGGGGGGGCAAGGA
This 501-nucleotide ribosomal RNA is filed under the name uncultured Acidobacteriota bacterium. Its description in RNAcentral is "bacterial SSU rRNA". It matches the Rfam family "Bacterial small subunit ribosomal RNA", at positions 55 to 538 of the family's 1533-position model. The record is from RNAcentral. Lineage: Bacteria; Pseudomonadati; Acidobacteriota.